This 450-nucleotide ribosomal RNA is filed under the name uncultured bacterium. RNAcentral describes it as "partial 16S ribosomal RNA". It matches the Rfam family "Bacterial small subunit ribosomal RNA", at positions 338 to 795 of the family's 1533-position model. The record is from RNAcentral.
CCUACGGGUGGCUGCAGUGGGGAAUUUUGGACAAUGGGGGCAACCCUGAUCCAGCCAUGCCGCGUGAGUGAAGAAGGCCUUCGGGUUGUAAAGCUCUUUCGGCCGGGAAGAAAUCGCUUCGGCUAAUACCUGGAGUGGAUGACGGUACCGGAAGAAGAAGCACCGGCUAACUACGUGCCAGCAGCCGCGGUAAUACGUAGGGUGCGAGCGGGAAGCGGAAUUACUGGGCGUAAAUCCUGAAGACAGGGUUGAAAUCCCCGGGCUUAACCUGGGAACUGCGUUUGUGACUGCGAGACUUGAGUGCGGCAGAGGGGGGUGGAAUUCCACGUGUAGCAGUGAAAUGCGUAGAGAUGUGGAGGAACACCGAUGGCGAAGGCAGCCCCCUGGGUCGACACUGACGCUCAUGCACGAAAGCGUGGGGAGCAAACAGGAUUAGAUACCCGAGUAGUC